This 1038-nucleotide ribosomal RNA is filed under the name uncultured bacterium. Its description in RNAcentral is "bacterial SSU rRNA". It matches the Rfam family "Bacterial small subunit ribosomal RNA", at positions 336 to 1393 of the family's 1533-position model. The record is from RNAcentral.
CUCCUACGGGAGGCAGCAGUGGGGAAUAUUGGACAAUGGGGGCAACCCUGAUCCAGCAAUUCUGUGUGCACGAGGAAGGUUUUCGGAUUGUAAAGUGCUUUCAGCAGGGAAGAAGGAAGUGACGGUACCUGCAGAAGAAGCGACGGCUAAAUACGUGCCAGCAGCCGCGGUAAUACGUAUGUCGCGAGCGUUAUCCGGAAUUAUUGGGCAUAAAGGGCAUCUAGGCGGCCAGGUAAGUCUGGGGUGAAAACUUGCGGCUCAACCGCAAGCCUGCCCUGGAAACUAUGUGGCUAGAGUGCUGGAGAGGUGGACGGAACUGCACGAGUAGAGGUGAAAUUCGUAGAUAUGUGCAGGAAUGCCGAUGAUGAAGAUAGUUCACUGGACGGCAACUGACGCUGAAGUGCGAAAGCUAGGGGAGCGAACAGGAUUAGAUACCCUGGUAGUCCUAGCUGUAAACGAUGAUUACUGGGUGUGGGCAUGAAGAGUGUCCGUGCCGAAGCGAAUGCGAUAAGUAAUCCGCCUGGGGAGUACGGCCGCAAGGCUGAAACUCAAAGGAAUUGACGGGGACCCGCACAAGCGGUGGAGCAUGUGGUUUAAUUCGACGCAACGCGAGGAACCUUACCAGAUCUUGACAUCCUACGGAUGCCUGCGAGAGCAGGCAGUGCCUUCGGGAACGUAGAGACAGGUGGUGCAUGGCUGUCGACAGCUCGUGUCGUGAGAUGUUGGGUUAAGUCCCGCAACGAGCGCAACCCCUAUCGUUAGUUGCCAUCAUUAAGUUGGGGACUCUAGCGAGACUGCCUGCGAAGAGCAGGAGGAAGGUGGGGAUGACGUCAAGUCAUCAUGCCCCUUAUGAUCUGGGCUACACACGUGCUACAAUGGCCGGUACAGAGAGCUGCGAGGCGGCAACGCCAAGCGAAUCUGCAAAGCCGGUCCAAGUUCGGAUUGAAGUCUGCAACUCGACUUCAUGAAGCUGGAAUCGCUAGUAAUCCCAGAUCAGCAAUGCUGCGGUGAAUACGUUCUCGGGUCUUGUACACACGC